GAUGAACGCUGGCGGCGUGCUUAACACAUGCAAGUCGAACGGAAAGGCUCCUGCUUGCAGGGGUACUCGAGUGGCGAACGGGUGAGUAACACGUGGGUGAUCUGCCCUGCACUUCGGGAUAAGCCUGGGAAACUGGGUCUAAUACCGGAUAGGAGGAUGGUUUGGAUGCAAUUGUGGAAAGUUAUUCGGUGUGGGAGGGGCUCGCGGCCUAUCAGCUUGUUGGUGGGGGAAUGGCCUACCAAGGCGUCGACGGGCAGGCGACCUGAGAGGGUGGACGGCCCCCUUGGGCCUGAGGUACGCCCCAGCCGCGAACUGGAGGCAGCGGUCGGGAAUAUUACACAGUGGGCGCGCGCCCGAUGCGACGGCGCUGCGUUGGGGAUGACGGCCUUCGGGUUGUAAACUCCUUUCGCCUGAGACGGAGCGCAAGUGACGGUACCUGGAGAAGAAGCACCGGCUAACUACGUG
RNAcentral lists this ribosomal RNA (465 nucleotides) under uncultured bacterium. Its description in RNAcentral is "partial 16S ribosomal RNA". It matches the Rfam family "Bacterial small subunit ribosomal RNA", at positions 28 to 507 of the family's 1533-position model. The record is from RNAcentral.